GCCUGGGGUGCCCCGCAGGGGAGCCCUAGCACAGGUGCUGCAUGGCCGUCGUCAGCUCGUGCCGUGAGGUGUUGGGUUAAGUCCCGCAACGAGCGCAACCCCCGCCGUUAGUUGCCAGCGGUUCGGCCGGGCACUCUAACGGGACUGCCCGCGAAAGCGGGAGGAAGGAGGGGACGACGUCUGGUCAGCAUGGCCCUUACGGCCUGGGCGACACACGUGCUACAAUGCCCACUACAAAGCGAUGCCACCCGGCAACGGGGAGCUAAUCGCAAAAAGGUGGGCCCAGUUCGGAUUGGGGUCUGCAACCCGACCCCAUGAAGCCGGAAUCGCUAGUAAUCGCGCAUCAGCAUGGCGCGGUGAAUACGUUCCCGGGCCUU
This 377-nucleotide ribosomal RNA is filed under the name uncultured Thermus sp. RNAcentral describes it as "bacterial SSU rRNA". It matches the Rfam family "Bacterial small subunit ribosomal RNA", at positions 1005 to 1382 of the family's 1533-position model. The record is from RNAcentral. Lineage: Bacteria; Thermotogati; Deinococcota; Deinococci; Thermales; Thermaceae.